CAGUAGCCGCGGGAAUACGAAGGGGGCUAGCGUUGCUCGGAAUCACUGGGCGUAAAGGGUGCGUAGGCGGGUCUUUAAGUCAGGGGUGAAAUCCUGGAGCUCAACUCCAGAACUGCCUUUGAUACUGAAGAUCUUGAGUUCGGGAGAGGUGAGUGGAACUGCGAGUGUAGAGGUGAAAUUCGUAGAUAUCCGCAAGAACACCAGUGGCGAAGGCGGCUCACUGGCCCGAUACUGACGCUGAGGCACGAAAGCGUGGGGAGCAAACAGGAUUAGAUACCCCGGUAGUCCCUGUCUCUUAUAU
This 301-nucleotide ribosomal RNA is filed under the name uncultured bacterium. RNAcentral describes it as "partial 16S ribosomal RNA". It matches the Rfam family "Bacterial small subunit ribosomal RNA", at positions 509 to 809 of the family's 1533-position model. The record is from RNAcentral.